Molecule: non-coding RNA, 239 nt
Organism: Thamnophis sirtalis
Lineage: Eukaryota; Metazoa; Chordata; Lepidosauria; Squamata; Natricidae
Source: RefSeq, a predicted model, not a curated record
AGGCAGGAAAAUUUGAUAUUAUUCCAACAAUGACUACUAUAGGUUCUGGGAUUGGUAUCUUUGGAGUGGCCUCUGUACUUUGUGAUCUGCUUCUGUUAAAUUUCCUAUCUAAUCGGGACUACUAUAAGCAGAAGAAGUUCAAGUAUGUGGAGCGGCAUUCUAUCAAUUCUGAUAAAGAAGACAUCGCCAUGAGCAACUCACAAGGGAAGGAAAAGAGUUCUCUAUGAAAUUGUAAGUGA